Tupaia belangeri chinensis (Chinese tree shrew) is the source of this 747-nucleotide long non-coding RNA. RefSeq lists it as uncharacterized. The record is from RefSeq and is a predicted model, not a curated record. Lineage: Eukaryota; Metazoa; Chordata; Mammalia; Scandentia; Tupaiidae. The transcript is spliced from 3 exons.
CAGGGGAGGGUGCUCCGCCGCUCCCAGUGCCCUGGUCCCGCUCCCCGAUGCGCGGAGCUCCCCCAGUCGGGAGGCAGCAGCGCGCCGGGGAGGGCGCGCGAGGAGGCCCGGCGUGGACGCGGCCCCAGGCGCGCGGGGAGGCCCGGCGUGGGCUCUUGGUGCUCCGGGGCUGGGAGGUCAACCCUGAGCCCUGAUGUGCAGGCGAAAGUCCUGCCUGCGCAGUGUCCCUCGAGGCGCACUCACGACCUGUGCUCUGCUGGACGGCCUCCACUCAGAGGGCAUCCUGGGUGCCAGCGGCCUGCCCGUGUCUGGACCCUGCUCCACCCUUACCAGGCUGCGUGACCUUGAGCAAUCGACUCAGCCCCUCUUCGCAGUGGAGACGGUGGAGACAUCACGUGGAUUAACCUGCUGAUAUCCGCCCUGCGAGAGCUUGGGACGAACGGCUUUGCCCGUCGGAGAGGAUGACAAUUACCAGCUUGGAGGAAGACCAGUUGCUCCCGUUCCAGUCCCCCGGUGUUGGCCAUCACAGAGACAGCCAUGUGUCUUUGCCCCACUGUCUCUUGGGUUAGGCAGGGCUGCGCGGUGCAGGUGAGGACGGCAGGACUGCUCAGCUCCAGGGAGAGCUUGUCUGGCGUUGCUGGGUGGGGCAGGUGAGGGGCAGUUCAUAGGAAGGCUGUGUGGUUAUUCAUUUUCAGUUUGAUUUUUUUGUUUAAAAGGGCAUUAAAGAGACAGAUGGCAUAAUGUUUA